UUUGGGCCUUCUAGCGACACAUCACACACGAACGACACAUCGAGCGGUUCGAGCCAGGCAAACAGCGACGCAGCCACUCCCGCAGACCGGCAUACGCACGCAGCAAGCAGCGAACCCUAGCAUGACGGCGGCGGCGGCGGCCAGGAGUAGGCGGAGUGGCGGACGACGGGGCGGCGGGUCGGCGGCUGUGGCGUCGAGCACUCAUCGGGCAAGCGUGAGGCGUGGCUGGGCUCUGCCGAGACAGGGACGCAGGCAGGCGGCGAGCGGCAUCUGCGGACGGGCCUAGCGGACGGUGCGGCAGCACAGCGCGGCGGCAGCCAGCUGCCCAGCUUCACGUCCUUCUCGUCUUGGCCUGCAGAAGAUGGAGAGUAAGGGGAAGGGGCGAAACGGGAGAGGAGCGUAGGGAUCUGCCGUUGCCUGGAUCUUCUAGACGGCAUUGAAACCUUCAUUAUCGGUAUAUUUUAGGUUGUUUUUUCAAUUGAAACAUGUCUACAUUUUCAUUGUAUUUAGUUAUUAGUUUGUGGUGUGCAAUGUUAGUGUGUAUUGACUCUUUUGGUUUGCGUAAAAAUAAUCUUUGCUUAAGACUUCGUCACACCUUAAAUUUUUUUCGUCCUCCGCCUCUGUAUGUAUGUAGACAAUUCGUCAAUGUUUGUUGCCCACAAAAUAAUCCAGAAUUUUUCAAAUUUUUACA
Long non-coding RNA from Triticum aestivum (bread wheat), 691 nucleotides. RefSeq lists it as uncharacterized. The transcript has 2 exons. The record is from RefSeq and is a predicted model, not a curated record. Lineage: Eukaryota; Viridiplantae; Streptophyta; Magnoliopsida; Poales; Poaceae.